This 253-nucleotide ribosomal RNA is filed under the name uncultured bacterium. RNAcentral's name for it is "partial 16S ribosomal RNA". It matches the Rfam family "Bacterial small subunit ribosomal RNA", at positions 524 to 776 of the family's 1533-position model. The record is from RNAcentral.
UACAGAGGUCUCAAGCGUUGUUCGGAUUCAUUGGGCGUAAAGGGUGCGUAGGUGGCGAGGCAAGUCAGAUGUGAAAUCCCGGGGCUCAACCCCGGAACUGCAUUUGAAACUGCCUUGCUCGAGUACUGGAGAGGAGACUGGAAUUUACGGUGUAGCAGUGAAAUGCGUAGAUAUCGUAAGGAAGACCAGUGGCGAAGGCGAGUCUCUGGACAGAAUCUGACGCUGAGGCACGAAAGCUAGGGGAGCAAACGGG